UUGAACGCUGGCGGCGUGCCUAACACACGCAAGUCGAACGAGAACCCCGGGCUUGCCCGGGGGGAGAGUGGCGAACGGGUGAGUAACACGUGAGGAACCUGCCCCGAAGACCGGGAUAACGCCGGGAAACUGGUGCUAAUACCGGAUGCCCUCGCCGAACCGCAUGAUUCGGCGAGGAAAUGGAUUCCGCUUCGGGAUGGCCUCGCGUCCUAUCAGCUUGUUGGUGGGGUAACGGCCCACCAAGGCAGCGACGGGUAGCUGGUCUGAGAGGAUGUCCAGCCACACUGGGACUGAGACACGGCCCAGACUCCUACGGGUGGCAGCAACCAGGAAUCUUGCGCAAUGGGCGAAAGCCUGACGCAGCGACACCGCGUGUGGGAUGACGCUCUUCGGAGUGUAAACCACUGUGGCAAGGGAAUAAUCAAUGAAGGUACCUUGCUAGAAAGCACCUGCUAACCACGUGCCAGAAGCCUCGGUAAUACGUGGGGUGCAAGCGUUAUCCGGAUUUACUGGGCGUAAAGCGUCCGUCGGCGACUUGGAAAGUUUUCUGUCCAAGCCUAGGGCUCAACUCUAGACAGGCAGAAAAAACUUCCCAAGAUUGAGUCUGUUUGGGGAAGUUGGAAUUCUCGGUGGAGGGGUGAAAUCCGUAGAUAUCGAGAGGAACGCCAGUCGCGAAAGGCUGACUUCUAAAACAGUACUGACGCUCAGGGACGAAAGCUAGGGUAGCAAAAGGGAUUAGAGACCCCUGUAGUCCUAGCCGUAAACGUUGGAUGCUAAUUGGUCCACUUUUAGUGGGCUGGUGUAAGCUAACGCGUUAAGCAUCCCGCCUGGGGAGUACGACCGCAAGGUUAAAACUCAAAGGAAUUGACGGGGGAGCGCACAACCGGUGGAGCAUGUGGUUUAAUUCGAUACAAAGCGAAAAACCUUACCUAGACUUGACAUAUACCUGCACGCCUUUGGAAACAAGGGUUUCUUCGAGAGUGGUAUACAGGUGAUGCAUGGUUGUCGUCAGCUCGUGUCGUGAGACGUCCGCUUAAGUGCGGUAACGAGCGCAACCCCUGCCGUCAGUUACAAGUGUCUGACGGAACUGCCCUCGCACAUCGGGGGAGGAAGGAGGGGACGACGUCAAAUCAGCAUGUCCCUUACGUCUAGGGCUACACACAUCCUACAAUGGAACCGACAAUGGGUCGCGAAGGGGUAACCCGGAGCCAAUCCCGAAACGGUUCCUCAGUUCAGAUUGAAGGCUGCAACCCGCCUUCAUGAAGUCGGAAUCGGUAGUAAUCGCAAAUCAUCAGGUUGCGGUGAAUACGUUCUCGCUCCUUGCACACACCGC
RNAcentral lists this ribosomal RNA (1333 nucleotides) under uncultured bacterium. RNAcentral's name for it is "bacterial SSU rRNA". It matches the Rfam family "Bacterial small subunit ribosomal RNA", at positions 29 to 1393 of the family's 1533-position model. The record is from RNAcentral.